RNAcentral lists this ribosomal RNA (460 nucleotides) under uncultured bacterium. RNAcentral's name for it is "partial 16S ribosomal RNA". It matches the Rfam family "Bacterial small subunit ribosomal RNA", at positions 338 to 795 of the family's 1533-position model. The record is from RNAcentral.
CCUACGGGAGACAGCAGUGAGGAAUAUUGGUCAAUGGACGAGAGUCUGAACCAGCCAAGUAGCGUGAAGGAUGACUGCCCUAUGGGUUGUAAACUUCUUUUAUAUGGGAAUAAAAUGUUCCACGUGUGGGAUUUUGUAUGUACCCUAUGAAUAAGGAUCGGCUAACUCCGUGCCAGCAGCCGCGGUAAUACGGAGGAUCCGAGCGUUAUCCGGAUUUAUUGGGUUUAAAGGGCGCGUAGGUGGAUUGUUAAGUCAGUUGUGAAAGUUUGCGGCUCAACCGUAAAAUUGCAGUUGAAACUGGCAGUCUUGAGUACAGUAGAGGUGGGCGGAAUGCGUGGUGUAGCGGUGAAAUGCUUAGAUAUCACGAAGAACUCCGAUUGCGAAGGCAGUUCACUGGACUGCAACUGACACUGAGGCUCGAAAGUGUGGGUAUCAAACAGGAUUAGAUACCCCUGUAGUC